This is a non-coding RNA of Colletotrichum caudatum, 84 nucleotides long. The record is from the annotation of a GenBank genome assembly. Lineage: Eukaryota; Fungi; Ascomycota; Sordariomycetes; Glomerellales; Glomerellaceae.
GCGCCGAUGGUUUAGUGGUAAAAUUCUCCGUUGCCAUCCGCAAGCAGCGUCGGGGAGCCGGGGGUUCGAUUCCCCCUCGGCGCA